ACCCUUUUCAGUGCCUCUUUCAGUGAUACGAAGCUAAAACCAGAUACUGCUUUCAUAGUACUUUUCUGACCACGGUUUUCUGGAGUUUUUUCGUAUGGAGUUUGUAAGCUUCCUGACAUGUUAUUUUUGGCAGAUUUUGAUGGAUGUACAUUGAUGGAUAGCCACGUGGAUCCAGAAAAUAAAGACUUCUACUCUGCAUUUGACUAAAGCAGAAGAUAUGCAAGGAAGCUCAGUCUCUCAAUUGAGUGGAUUCUGAAAUUUAUCCUGUUGUCUUCAGCUACUAAGGCUAAUUUGCAAAUCACACUGUGCACGGGGUUCCAGGGUGAAAUAGGAGCACUUAGGAAGCACUGCAAUGAAUUUACUGCUUAUUCAGCAUAUUGAUAGAGUCUUCUCUAAAACAACAAAAAGUGUUGACAGCAAACUGAAGAUCUUAAAGAAUGUGUGUGUCCCACCCCUGCAGUACUUCAGCAUUCUGAGGUAACAAGACAGUUGGCUUACUGCAUCUUAGAAAGGCUUAUUGAUUUUGUUAUUGCUACAACUAUCAUGGAAGCAGAGGCAGCAAUUUCUCAAGCCUAGUUCCAAAAGGAUUAAACCUGACAAAGAUUUAUAAACAACCUGUUCAGUGGCUGCUGAUUAACUCCCCAAGAUUGAUGUACUGAAGAAGGAUGACCUCCCCUUGACACCAAUGCUACUAGUCAAUAACGACCACUGUGACUCAGAACAAAUUCUCUGGGGGCAGGCAGUGAAGCUUCUUCUCUUGUUGACCUUACCAGACCACAAGGCUGAAAAUAUUCUGUGGCCUGAUGCCCUUAAAUUGAUCAUAUUAAUACAAUCAAGCAGAAAAGAAAUUAAUUUUCCCUCUCUCUCUCUGUCUAUAUAUAUACUUACUACUAUAUAUAUGUGUGUAUAUAUAUGCUAUAUAUGUGUGUGUAUAUAUAUAGCAGUACAUAUAGAUAUAAUUAGUAUAUAUAGAAGUAGUAAAUAUAUAAAAAUAUAUUUGUAUUCCUCUUCAGCUCCAUACUUGAGAUUAAAAAGUAUCCUUUAAGAGUUCAUACAUCUAGACCUCUCUUCUGAAAAGAAUAAUAAUCUCCUGUUUAUCUAUGCACUUAUUUGCUAAAUAAAGAAGAAUAUUGAGCACCCAAAA
This 1144-nucleotide long non-coding RNA is filed under the name Homo sapiens (human). RNAcentral's name for it is "novel transcript". The record is from RNAcentral. Lineage: Eukaryota; Metazoa; Chordata; Mammalia; Primates; Hominidae.